Molecule: ribosomal RNA, 913 nt
Filed under: uncultured Nitrososphaerota archaeon
Lineage: Archaea; Thermoproteati; Nitrososphaerota
Description: bacterial SSU rRNA
Rfam family: Archaeal small subunit ribosomal RNA
Source: RNAcentral
UUCCGGUUGAUCCUGCCGGACCUGACUGCUAUCGGAUUGAUACUAAGCCAUGCGAGUCAUUGUAGCAAUACAAGGCAUACGGCUCAGUAACGCGUAGUCAACCUACCCUAUGGACGGAAAUAACCUCGGGAAACUGAGAAUAAUAUCCGAUAGAACAUUAUGCCUGGAAUGGUUUAUGUUCCAAAUGAUUUAUCGCCGUAGGAUGGGACUGCGGCCUAUCAGUUUGUUGGUGAGGUAAUGGCCCACCAAGACUAUUACAGGUACGGGCUCUGAGAGGAGUAGCCCGGAGAUGGGUACUGAGACACGGACCCAGGCCCUAUGGGGCGCAGCAGGCGAGAAAACUUUGCAAUGUGCGAAGGCACGACAAGGUUAAUCCGAGUGAUUUCUGCUAAAGAAAUCUUUUGUUAGUCCUAGAAACACUAACGAAUAAGGGGUGGGCAAGUUCUGGUGUCAGCCGCCGCGGUAAAACCAGCACCUCAAGUGGUCAGGAUGAUUAUUGGGCCUAAAGCAUCCGUAGCCGGCUCUGUAAGUCCUCGGUUAAAUCUGUACGCUUAACGUACAGGCUGCCGGGAAUACUGCAUAGCUAGGGAGUGGGAGAGGUAGACGGUACUCGGUAGGAAGGGGUAAAACCCUUUGAUCUAUUGAUGACCACCUGUGGCGAAGGCGGUCUACCAGAACACGUCCGACGGUGAGGGAUGAAAGCUGGGGGAGCAAACCGGAUUAGAUACCCGGGUAGUCCCAGCUGUAAACUAUGCAAACUCAGUGAUGCAUUGGCUUGUGGCCAAUGCAGUGCUGCAGGGAAGCCGUUAAGUUUGCCGCCUGGGAAGUACGUACGCAAGUAUGAAACUUAAAGGAAUUGGCGGGGGAGCACCACAAGGGGUGAAGCCUGCGGUUCAAUUGGAGUCAACGCCGG